RNAcentral lists this transfer RNA (93 nucleotides) under Acidobacteriota bacterium. RNAcentral's name for it is "Acidobacteria bacterium tRNA-Ser". It matches the Rfam family "tRNA". Rfam says of the family: Transfer RNA (tRNA) molecules are approximately 80 nucleotides in length. Their secondary structure includes four short double-helical elements and three loops (D, anti-codon, and T loops). The record is from RNAcentral. RNAcentral also lists the same sequence under 2 other names. Lineage: Bacteria; Pseudomonadati; Acidobacteriota.
GGAGAGGUGCUGGAGUGGCUGAACAGGGGCGCCUGCUAAGCGCCUGGACGGCUUAACACCGUCCCGAGGGUUCGAAUCCCUCCCUCUCCGCCA